UACGUAGGGUCCGAGCGUUGUCCGGAGUUACUGGGCGUAAAGCGCGCGCAGGCGGCGGUGCUGGCCCGGCGUGAAAGCCCCCGGCUCAACCGGGGAGAGUCGUCGGGGACCGCACCGCUUGAGGGCGGUAGGGGCUGGUGGAAUGCCUGGUGUAGUGGUGGAAUGCGUAGAGAUCCGGAGGAACACCAGCGGCGAAGGCGGCAUCCUGGACUGGUCCUGACACUCAGGAGCGAAAGCGUGGGGAGCGAUCCGG
This 253-nucleotide ribosomal RNA is filed under the name uncultured bacterium. RNAcentral's name for it is "partial 16S ribosomal RNA". It matches the Rfam family "Bacterial small subunit ribosomal RNA", at positions 524 to 776 of the family's 1533-position model. The record is from RNAcentral.